UGUUGACAAGCUAAGCUCUGAUUAUUCACCAACUCUGCUGGAACUCAAGCUUCUUGAUGAUGGAGACUUUUUCAGGGCUUGGGGUGGCAUUGCAGGGGAAUUUGCAGUUUGUUCUUCCCGUGACAUGGUCAUAUGGCCAGAAAUAUAGAGUGACUUUAGAACAUCUAGCUUUAUGGUAGAGUGAAAGGCCCGUCAGGCUUGCCGGACAAGAAUUGAAGGGAGCAAUUGCAAUUGGGAACCAUGCAGAUAUGGUAGUGUGGGAUCCAGAUGUGGAGUUGUCUUAUUUUCGUAUUUGGCAGGUCCAUAGUUGUCAUAGACUGUCUUCUGCAUUUUUAUAGGGAUUUUUUAGAACACUUGUGACCUUAAACGGUACUAUGAUCUUCCAAGGACAAGCAACAGAACCCACGGUUGUGGUUGAAGCUUAUAAAGUUCUAC
Molecule: non-coding RNA, 435 nt
Organism: Prunus avium (sweet cherry)
Lineage: Eukaryota; Viridiplantae; Streptophyta; Magnoliopsida; Rosales; Rosaceae
Source: RefSeq, a predicted model, not a curated record